AAUUAACUGUUGCCUUUGAUGAGGUUGGCUGCUAUAGUUUGAUACCUCAUUUUGAGGUUGAAUCAUUGUUGCAUUUUAAUCUUUUUGUGCUCCAUUUUUUUGAUGUAUUUUACACCAUGGGUUGCUGAUAUUUUAUCAUAUUGCUGCUGAAUUUUAGACUAAACUAUUUGUUGCACUUCUCAUCAAAUUUCGGUCUAUUGUUGCUAUGUGUCAAGCUACAUUUUGCUACACUUUUGGCUAUAUUUAAGCCAAUGGUUUGGCUAUGUAUUUGGAAACUUUGCUGCACUUUUAAGUUAGACAACUGCUUACAUUAUUACUUACAUGAGCAUCUUGGUAUAGUUUCACUGAACUCCCUUACCUCACUGGAAAAUAUGAAUUUCUGACCCCUAAAUACUGAGGAUCUGAAGCAAUCCUGUGUUUACACUGAGUCUUUCUCAACUUCUGCCAAUUAUCUCAUGAGUUAUUGCCUAUUUACAUACAGGAAAUGACACAUCCAACUUAUAUGAAUUUGAAUAUUGUAUUUUCACUUUUUAACAUACCUUAAUUUGUCUAAUUACAGGAACUUCCUCACUUGAUUUUGUGACUUUUGCUUAACGAAGUUUUUGGAUUCCCAGUCGAUUCAAGUUUCCUCAAUAGGGAGAAUGAAAUGAAUCAGUUAACUUUUUGUCCACGAAAUGAAUCAGUUAACUUUUUGUGCAGCCUUCGUUAUUUAGCUUUGCUGGAACCCCUAACAACUCCCUAUGCUAUGGUUUUGGGAAUGAUGAAGAAGAUCAGCAACUGAAAGUGAACAGCAGCAUCCUCUACAUAUAUAAUAUGAUAAACAAUUACAUGUUGAUCUCAUAUGUCAAAAAAAUAUUUUGAUUUUAUUACCUUAGUUAAUAUGGUAUCAGUUGUACAUAUAUUUUGAAUAUCUCUAAUACUAUAUAACAUUAUUACAUUAUCUUAUCUUCUACAACAAUUAUCAUCAAUGAUUCAUUAAUACUGAUAUUUUCACUAUUGGGCCCGUGCUUGCCACGGGCGUUCCCCAUCUAGUAUACUUAGACAACGCAGCCUAUAGAAGUUUUAUGUACAACAAGUUUGGUGUUAGUCCUGUUGAAAUGGAAAGUGCUGCUGUGGCUCUCAUUUGUUACCAACAGAAGGUACCUUACAUCGUUAUCCGUGCCCUCUCCGACAUGGCCGGAGGUGGCACUUCCGAGUCCAACGAGGCAUCUACCUUCAUCACCCUUGCUGCGACCAACUCCGUUGAAGUCACCGUACAAUUCAUCAACCAAUUGGCUACCAAAAAAUUACAUCAAGAUGCUUCAUGUCUAUUAUUAGUACCUUCAGUUUUUCGAAUUUGUAUCAAAAUAAGCAAAAAUCGACAAGAGAUUUCUUCCGAUCAAGUAUAAUUUAUUUGUUAUUUUUCAUAUUUCA
Non-coding RNA from Solanum lycopersicum (tomato), 1413 nucleotides. The record is from RefSeq and is a predicted model, not a curated record. NCBI's taxonomy places the organism in Eukaryota, Viridiplantae, Streptophyta, Magnoliopsida, Solanales, Solanaceae.